Molecule: ribosomal RNA, 1701 nt
Filed under: Shigella sonnei
Lineage: Bacteria; Pseudomonadati; Pseudomonadota; Gammaproteobacteria; Enterobacterales; Enterobacteriaceae
Description: partial 23S ribosomal RNA
Rfam family: Bacterial large subunit ribosomal RNA
Source: RNAcentral
CCGGAGAAUGUUAUCACGGGAGACACACGGCGGGUGCUAACGUCCGUCGUGAAGAGGGAAACAACCCAGACCGCCAGCUAAGGUCCCAAAGUCAUGGUUAAGUGGGAAACGAUGUGGGAAGGCCCAGACAGCCAGGAUGUUGGCUUAGAAGCAGCCAUCAUUUAAAGAAAGCGUAAUAGCUCACUGGUCGAGUCGGCCUGCGCGGAAGAUGUAACGGGGCUAAACCAUGCACCGAAGCUGCGGCAGCGACGCUUAUGCGUUGUUGGGUAGGGGAGCGUUCUGUAAGCCUGCGAAGGUGUGCUGUGAGGCAUGCUGGAGGUAUCAGAAGUGCGAAUGCUGACAUAAGUAACGAUAAAGCGGGUGAAAAGCCCGCUCGCCGGAAGACCAAGGGUUCCUGUCCAACGUUAAUCGGGGCAGGGUGAGUCGACCCCUAAGGCGAGGCCGAAAGGCGUAGUCGAUGGGAAACAGGUUAAUAUUCCUGUACUUGGUGUUACUGCGAAGGGGGGACGGAGAAGGCUAUGUUGGCCGGGCGACGGUUGUCCCGGUUUAAGCGUGUAGGCUGGUUUUCCAGGCAAAUCCGGAAAAUCAAGGCUGAGGCGUGAUGACGAGGCACUACGGUGCUGAAGCAACAAAUGCCCUGCUUCCAGGAAAAGCCUCUAAGCAUCAGGUAACAUCAAAUCGUACCCCAAACCGACACAGGUGGUCAGGUAGAGAAUACCAAGGCGCUUGAGAGAACUCGGGUGAAGGAACUAGGCAAAAUGGUGCCGUAACUUCGGGAGAAGGCACGCUGAUAUGUAGGUGAAGUCCCUUGCGGAUGGAGCUGAAAUCAGUCGAAGAUACCAGCUGGCUGCAACUGUUUAUUAAAAACACAGCACUGUGCAAACACGAAAGUGGACGUAUACGGUGUGACGCCUGCCCGGUGCCGGAAGGUUAAUUGAUGGGGUCAGCGCAAGCGAAGCUCUUGAUCGAAGCCCCGGUAAACGGCGGCCGUAACUAUAACGGUCCUAAGGUAGCGAAAUUCCUUGUCGGGUAAGUUCCGACCUGCACGAAUGGCGUAAUGAUGGCCAGGCUGUCUCCACCCGAGACUCAGUGAAAUUGAACUCGCUGUGAAGAUGCAGUGUACCCGCGGCAAGACGGAAAGACCCCGUGAACCUUUACUAUAGCUUGACACUGAACAUUGAGCCUUGAUGUGUAGGAUAGGUGGGAGGCUUUGAAGUGUGGACGCCAGUCUGCAUGGAGCCGGCCUUGAAAUACCACCCUUUAAUGUUUGAUGUUCUAACGUGGACCCGUGAUCCGGGUUGCGGACAGUGUCUGGUGGGUAGUUUGACUGGGGCGGUCUCCUCCUAAAGAGUAACGGAGGAGCACGAAGGUUGGCUAAUCCUGGUCGGACAUCAGGAGGUUAGUGCAAUGGCAUAAGCCAGCUUGACUGCGAGCGUGACGGCGCGAGCAGGUGCGAAAGCAGGUCAUAGUGAUCCGGUGGUUCUGAAUGGAAGGGCCAUCGCUCAACGGAUAAAAGGUACUCCGGGGAUAACAGGCUGAUACCGCCCAAGAGUUCAUAUCGACGGCGGUGUUUGGCACCUCGAUGUCGGCUCAUCACAUCCUGGGGCUGAAGUAGGUCCCAAGGGUAUGGCUGUUCGCCAUUUAAAGUGGUACGCGAGCUGGGUUUAGAACGUCGUGAGACAGUUCGGUCCCUAUCUGCCG